CUGGAUUCUUAACCCACUGCACCACAGCGGGAACUUCUAAGGGAUGCUUUUGAAAGCCAAAGUCAGAGGGUGUCCCCCCCCUGCUCAAAACCCUCCAAAGGCUCCAUCCUUGCGCAGAAGCAAACCCUAUGCCCAGGCAAUUACCUGCAAGACCCUCCGAGAUCUGCCCACCUGCACUCUCUCCAGCCACACUGCCCACCACCCUCUUCCUCAUUCACUCUGUUCCAGCCCUGCUGGCUUCCUUGCAGUUGCUUCCACCUGCCAAUCCCACUUCUGCCACAGGGCCUUUGCAUGUGCUGCACCCACCCACACCCACACCCGUACCCUUCCCCUAAAAGUCUUCACAGCUGGUUCCCUUAAUUCAGAGCUCUGUCUCUGACCCGACGAAAUGACACCGAGUCCCCCUAUGCCUUAUCACCCUGGCUGGCACAUAGCAGGCUCUUGAUAAAGACGAUGGAGGAGGAGUUCCCGUCAUGGCUCAUGGUUAACGAAUCCGACUAGGAACCAUGAGGUUGCAGGUUCGAUCCCUGGCCUUGCUCAGUGGGUUAACGAUCCAGCGUUGCCGUGAGCUGUGGUGUAGGUUGCAGACGUAGGCCGGUGGCUACAGCUCCGAUUAGACCCCUAGCCUGGGAACCUCCAUAUGCCAUGGGUGUGGCCCCAGAAAAGGCAAAAAGACAACAACAAAAUAAAUGAUGGAGGAAUCAUAAGAGACCCAAUACACACAGUAGGCGCUCAAUAAACAACCGUUACUGCUGUGGUAGUAACAAACUGUCACCAUUAUUCUUGCACCAAACCAACCGGUCCAUGCCAGGGCCUGAUGUCACAUCACCUGGCCCAUUCAGCCAGGCCUGGCAUUCGAUAACACCCUCUCCUCCGCCCGCACGGCCUGCCUGUGGGCACCAAGGAGCUGGAAGCCGCACACAGAAGAAGGAAGUCCUGUGCGGGAGGGCAGUAGGGGGACGCCCAGGCCUGGUUGCCAGGCAACCCCACCCCAUCACUCAAAACACCGGCAGGCGGGCUCCACCAGGAAGGGCUGUGUGUUUACACGGCUGUCUUAUCUGCUGGCCUGGCCGCCCGUGUUUGCGCCCAGGUUUCAAAAGGACAAAGUACCUCAAGGAGCAACGCUGAUGGGGACGAGAGUCACAGUGCGCAGGACAUGUGUCUGCAGGGGGAGCAGCUCAGGCUGCUGAGAACCUACUGUGUGCCACUUUCACCCUGCUCGGGACCACCCUUGCGGUGUCAUGGGUUUAAAUGAGAAAAGGCAGGAACGGGGCUUGCCGGGGGCCUGGCGCUCUGAGAAGAGCUCGGUAAAGAUUCAGCACUGCCACGGUUAUUCCUUUUAUUCUCACCAAUUUGGCAGCAGCCUGGCUGCCUGUCUCCACCUUCACACCUCAUUCCAUGCCACCCCCCCACCCCCCGCCCCUCACGCACUCACAGUCAGGUUCCUCUGCCGCAGCACCCUGCUGUGUGGGGCAAGGUGGUUCUUUGCAGUGGAGGCUGUCCUGUGCCCUGCCCGCAGUUGAGCAGCGGCCCUGGCCUCUACCACUGUCGGUGGUAUGGAGAAUCGAGGUUCCUCCAAAAAUGAAGAGAACUGUCAUGGGAUCGACUCCAGUCCCACUUGUGGGUCUACACCCCAAAGAAAUGAAAGCAGGAUCUCUAAGAGAUACUUGAACAUCUAUAUGCACAGCAGCAUUAUUCACAAGAGCCAACUGGUAGAAGCAACCCAAGUAUCUACCAACAGACGACUGGGUAAAGAAAACGUGGUCCAUACACGCAAUGGAAUAUUACUCAGCCUUGAAAAGGAAGAAAAUUCUGACACCCGCUACAGCACAGAUGAACCGUGAGGACAUUACGCAAAGUGAAACAUGCCAGCCACAAAAAUACAAACACUCGAUUGCAUUACUAGGAGCUACUUUCAGGGAGUCAAGUUCAUAGAGACAGGGCAUACAUGAGGGGUCAUCAGAGCUACCUAAGGAGUCAAAUUCACAGAGACAGAGUGAUCACCAGGCACGGCUUCCCUCAGCAGGCCGGGCCGGGUGCCUUGGUCCUGCUCACCACUCCUCUACAGGAGGCUGUGCCUGCCCCCCAUCAAGUCCCACCUCGGAAGGAACUUCCUGGGGGGCUGCUCACCUCGGCAUGCAAAGCAGAGCCCACACAACCCAGAGCCCCUGAGAAUUCCCUGGGUUUCAGCACAAUGAGGAUUAUUCAGAAGGAUGACUGUGGUCUUCCAGGGAGACAAAGGUUAAAGAUGAAAAAAGUCUGGAAGAAUGAAUAUACCUCAAAAUAAUAACCAU
This 2294-nucleotide long non-coding RNA is filed under the name Sus scrofa (pig). RNAcentral describes it as "lncRNA (ENSSSCG00005030047.1)". Lineage: Eukaryota; Metazoa; Chordata; Mammalia; Artiodactyla; Suidae. The record is from RNAcentral.